GCAUAUCAAUAAGCGGAGGAAAAGAAACUAACAAGGAUUCCCCUAGUAACUGCGAGUGAAGCGGGAAAAGCUCAAAUUUAAAAUCUGGUGGUCUUUGGCCAUCCGAGUUGUAAUCUAGAGAAGUGUUACCCGCGUCGGACCGUGUAUAAGUCUCCUGGAAUGGAGCGUCAUAGAGGGUGAGAAUCCCGUCUUUGACACGGACUACCGAGGCUUUGUGGUGCGCUCUCAACGAGUCGAGUUGUUUGGGAAUGCAGCUCAAAAUGGGUGGUAAAUUCCAUCUAAAGCUAAAUAUUGGCGAGAGACCGAUAGCGAACAAGUACCGUGAGGGAAAGAUGAAAAGAACUUUGGAAAGAGAGUUAAACAGUACGUGAAAUUGCUGAAAGGGAAACGCUUGAAGUCAGUCGCGUUGGCCGGAAAUCAGCCUUGCUUUUGCAUGGUGUACUUUCUGGUUGACGGGCCAGCAUCAGUUUUGACCGGUGGAAAAAGUUCAAGGGAAUGUGGCAUCUUCGGAUGUGUUAUAGCCCUUGUUCGUAUACAUCGGUUGGGACUGAGGAACUCAGCACGCCGAAAGGCCGGGUCUUUGACCACGUUCGUGCUUAGGAUGCUGGCAUAAUGGCUUUAAUCGACCCGUCUUGAAACACGGACCAAGGAGUCUAACAUGCCUGCGAGUGUUUGGGUGGAAAACCCGGACGCGCAAUGAAAGUGAAAGUUGAGAUCCCUGUCAUGGGGAGCAUCGACGCCCGGACCAGAAGUUCUCUGACGGCCCUGCGGUAGAGCAUGUAUGUUGGGACCCGAAAGAUGGUGAACUAUGCCUGAAUAGGGUGAAAGCCAGAGGAAACUCUGGUGGAGGCUCGUAGCGAUUCUGACGUGCAAAUCGAUCGUCAAAUUUGGGUAUAGGGGGCGAAAGACUAAUCGAACCAUCUAGUAGCUGGUUCCUGCCGAA
This 943-nucleotide ribosomal RNA is filed under the name Psathyrella prona. RNAcentral describes it as "LSU rRNA". It matches the Rfam family "Eukaryotic large subunit ribosomal RNA", at positions 38 to 965 of the family's 3401-position model. Lineage: Eukaryota; Fungi; Basidiomycota; Agaricomycetes; Agaricales; Psathyrellaceae. The record is from RNAcentral.